AGAGUUUGAUCAUGGCUCAGAACGUACGCUGGCGGCACGCCUAACACAUGCAAGUCGAACGAAGUAGCAAUACUUAGUGGCAGACGGGUGAGUAACAUGUAGGUAUCUGCCCUUUGGCCUGGAAUAACACGAGGAAACUUGUGCUAAUACCGGAUAAGUCUUUACAGAGAAAGCUUUAUGCACCAUUGGAUGAGCCUGCACUUGAUUAGUUUGUUGGUGGGGUAAUGGCCUACCAAGACUUUGAUCAAUAGCUGAUUUGAGAGGAUGAUCAGCCACAUUGGGACUGAGACACGGCCCAAACUCCUACGGGAGGCAGCAGUGGGGAAUCUUGCACAAUGGAGGAAACUCUGAUGCAGCGAUGCCGCGUGAGUGAAGAAGGCCCUUGGGUUGUAAAGCUCUUUCGUCGGGGAAGAAAAUGACUGUACCCGAAUAAGAAGGUCCGGCUAACUUCGUGCCAGCAGCCGCGGUAAUACGAAGGGACCUAGCGUAGUUCGGAAUUACUGGGCUUAAAGAGUUCGUAGGUGGUUGAAAAAGUUGGUGGUGAAAUCCCAGAGCUUAACUCUGGAACUGCCAUCAAAACUUUUCAGCUAGAGUAUGAUAGAGGAAAGCAGAAUUUCUAGUGUAGAGGUGAAAUUCGUAGAUAUUAGAAAGAAUACCAAUUGCGAAGGCAGCUUUCUGGAUCAUUACUGACACUGAGGAACGAAAGCAUGGGUAGCGAAGAGGAUUAGAUACCCUCGUAGUCCAUGCCGUAAACGAUGUGUGUUAGACGUUGGAAAUUUAUUUUCAGUGUCGCAGCAAAAGCGAUAAACACACCGCCUGGGGAGUACGACCGCAAGGUUAAAACUCAAAUGAAUUGACGGGGACCCGCACAAGUAGUGGAGCAUGUGGUUUAAUUCGAAGAUACGCGCAGAACCUUACCAACACUUGACAUGUUCGUCGCGACUCUAAGAGAUUAGAGUUUUCGGUUCGGCCGGACGAAACACAGGUGCUGCAUGGCUGUCGUCAGCUCGUGUCGUGAGAUGUUGGGUUAAGUCCCGCAACGAGCGCAACCCUCACUUUUAGUUGCCAUCAUUUAGUUGGGCACUCUGAAAGAACUGCCAGUGAUAAGCUGGAGGAAGGUGGGGAUGACGUCAAGUCCUCAUGGCCCUUACGUGUUGGGCUACACACGUGCUACAAUGGUAUCUACAACAGGAAGCAAGACGGCGACGUUAAGCAAAUCCUUAAAAGAUACCUCAGUUCGGAUUGCACUCUGCAACUCGAGUGCAUGAAGCUGGAAUUACUAGUAAUCGUGGAUCAGCGUGCCACGGUGAAUGCGUUCCCGGGUCUUGUACACACCGCCCGUCACACCAUGGGAGUUGGUUCUACCUUAAGGCAAGGUUUAAAAUCCUUGACCACGGUAUAGUCAGCGACUGGGGUGAAGUCGUAACAAGGUAACCGUA
Molecule: ribosomal RNA, 1439 nt
Filed under: uncultured bacterium
Lineage: Bacteria
Description: bacterial SSU rRNA
Rfam family: Bacterial small subunit ribosomal RNA
Source: RNAcentral